UUGGUUUUUCCCACAAAAGAAAAAUUGUGGAGAAUCAAAAUUAUUUCUUUUAUGAUUGUUUGAUUCUUGUAAAUAAAUGAAUGUGAAUAUUUUAAAAUUUUUAUAACAUGUCAUGCAUAUAUUAGAAGUAUGUCAUAUAGAUUAGGUAAGAAUGUCACUAGGACUAUUGUAUGAUCAUUUUUGAAAUAUAGGAUAAAAAAACCUUGC
This 207-nucleotide long non-coding RNA is filed under the name Gossypium barbadense (sea-island cotton). RNAcentral describes it as "long non-coding RNA (GBAR_LNC017963)". The record is from RNAcentral. Lineage: Eukaryota; Viridiplantae; Streptophyta; Magnoliopsida; Malvales; Malvaceae.